RNAcentral lists this unclassified non-coding RNA (306 nucleotides) under uncultured Rozellomycota. Its description in RNAcentral is "uncultured Cryptomycota sequence contains ITS1". The stretch from base 1 to 104 matches the Rfam family "5.8S ribosomal RNA", at positions 50 to 154 of the family's 154-position model. The record is from RNAcentral. Lineage: Eukaryota; Fungi; Rozellomycota.
AAUGUGCGAAAAGUAAUGCGAAUUGCAUACCUCUGCGAGUCAUCUAGUCUUUGAACGCAAAUGGCACUGUCUUGUCAAGAGACAGUAUGCCUGUUUGAGAACCGAAUACCUCUUCACAUUUGUGGAUGUGUCCAUCGACCAGUGUCUUUGGAUUAAAUGUAUUGGUACUACUCUUGAAGGUAGUGUGUCAGAGAACCGUGGUUCCACAUCACUACCUUGGGGAGAUCCAUGGUAUCACCUUAUGCUUUAGUGCAUAAACAUAUAUAAUACGGUCUCAAAUCAGGCAAGGCUACCCGCUGAACUUAA